AUGGACCGGGCCAGGCUGCAUGGGGGCCUGGCUGAGCCGCUGCCUCCCCCCUCCCCUGUCCAGGCAGGGCAAGGGCUGUGGGUGGCCAGGGCCCCUCUCCCCAGCCUCCUUCCUCUGCACCCCACCCACCCUGGGAACCACUCUCGGCCCCUCUCAUUCUAUCACAGGCUCCCUCUCUUCUCCUCUGUCCCCUCCUCUGCCACACAUUUUCCUCCACAAGCUGGUGCCCUCACCUGCAGUUCCCUCCCUGCGCGGUGUCCCCGAGGGCCCCCAGGCCACUGCCCCCUCCUGCCCUUCCUUCCUCCACCUCCUCCUCUUUUCCCACUCUCCUCCUCCGCUUCAUCCCUCUGCCAUCCUCCUCCUCCUCCUUUCUUCCCCCUCCCCCUCCCCAGCCACCUUCCUCCUCCUCCUCCUCCCUCCUCCUUCCAUCCUUGCUCCCCUGGCUCCCUCUCCACCCCCUUCCUCCUCCUCUCCCCCACUCUCCUCAGCCCCUCAGUCUCUCGUCCCUUCUUCAUCAUCACGUGCUCUGACCCCCUCCCUCUUGGUGUCUGUCCCUCACCUCCCCCUACUCUGACUCCCCUCCCUCAUGGUGUCUGUCUCUCACGUCCCCCCCAUUUCCUGACUCCCCACCUUUUCAUUCCGCCUUUUGAAGACCUUCACACCACCCUGCUCUCCCCACUCACCACUCUGCCUUGGCCAGUGUGCUCCCUGCUGUGCUGCCCCCAGGCCACCACCCUGGAGAGGAGGGGGAUGGUGGGGCGAGGGCGGGGUCCAGGCCACUUCCUGGGAAGUUCCUCUUCCUCUCAGGCUCCCUGCUCUCCUGCCCCUUUCCCCCUUUCUCUCCCRCUCCCCAUCCCUUCCUCAUCUUUGCUGUUUUUUCCAGAACCUUUUCUUGCUUUCCCCCUGCUCUCCUCUUCUGCGUCCCUUGGCCACCUUGGCCCCCACUCCUCUGAGGCACUAGGAGCUGCUUCCCUGUGCCCUGAGCUUCGGGGCCUUUUAUCUUCUCUUCCUUGA
This 1014-nucleotide long non-coding RNA is filed under the name Urocitellus parryii (Arctic ground squirrel). Its description in RNAcentral is "lncRNA (ENSUPAG00010015327.1)". The record is from RNAcentral. Lineage: Eukaryota; Metazoa; Chordata; Mammalia; Rodentia; Sciuridae.